This 677-nucleotide ribosomal RNA is filed under the name uncultured bacterium. RNAcentral's name for it is "bacterial SSU rRNA". It matches the Rfam family "Bacterial small subunit ribosomal RNA", at positions 60 to 736 of the family's 1533-position model. The record is from RNAcentral.
AGUCGAACGAAGCUGCAUCGAACGAAUUCUUCGGAAGAGAUUGGUACAGCUUAGUGGCGGACGGGUGAGUAACGCGUGAGUAACCUGCCUUUCAGAGGGGGAUAACGUUUGGAAACGAACGCUAAUACCGCAUAACAUAUUAAAUUCGCAUGGAUUUGAUAUCAAAGGAGCAAUCCGCUGAAAGAUGGACUCGCGUCCAAUUAGCUAGUUGGUGAGGUAACGGCCCACCAAGGCGACGAUUGGUAGCCGGACUGAGAGGUUGAACGGCCACAUUGGGACUGAGACACGGCCCAGACUCCUACGGGAGGCAGCAGUGGGGAAUAUUGCACAAUGGGGGAAACCCUGAUGCAGCGACGCCGAGUGAGGGAAGAAGGUUUUCGGAUUGUAAACCUCUGUCCUUGGUGAAGAUAAUGACGGUAGCCAAGGAGGAAGCUACGGCUAACUACGUGCCAGCAGCCGCGGUAAUACGUAGGUAGCGAGCGUUGUCCGGAAUUACUGGGUGUAAAGGGAGCGUAGGCGGGAUUGCAAGUUGAAUGUCAAAUCUACGGGCUUAACCCGUAGCCGCGUUCAAAACUGCAGUUCUUGAGUGAAGUAGAGGCAGGCGGAAUUCCUAGUGUAGCGGUGAAAUGCGUAAAUAUUAGGAGGAACACCAGUGGCGAAGGCGGCCUGCUGGGCUU